RNAcentral lists this ribosomal RNA (444 nucleotides) under uncultured prokaryote. RNAcentral's name for it is "bacterial SSU rRNA". It matches the Rfam family "Bacterial small subunit ribosomal RNA", at positions 355 to 796 of the family's 1533-position model. The record is from RNAcentral.
UGAGGAAUAUUGGACAAUGGGCGGAAGCCUGAUCCAGCCAUGCCGCGUGCAGGAAGACAGCCCUAUGGGUUGUAAACUGCUUUUAUACAGGAAGAAUAAGUCCCUUGCGAGGGAUGAUGACGGUACUGUAAGAAUAAGGACCGGCUAACUCCGUGCCAGCAGCCGCGGUAAUACGGAGGGUCCAAGCGUUAUCCGGAAUCAUUGGGUUUAAAGGGUCCGCAGGCGGGCAAUUAAGUCAGGGGUGAAAUGGUGCGGCUCAACCGUAGCACUGCCCUUGAUACUGGUUGUCUUGAGUUAUGGUGAAGUGGCCGGAAUAUGUAGUGUAGCGGUGAAAUGCAUAGAUAUUACAUAGAACACCGAUCGCGAAGGCAGGUCACUAACCAUACACUGACGCUGAUGGACGAAAGCGUGGGGAGCGAACAGGAUUAGAUACCCCCGUAGUCC